This 279-nucleotide ribosomal RNA is filed under the name uncultured bacterium. RNAcentral describes it as "partial 16S ribosomal RNA". It matches the Rfam family "Bacterial small subunit ribosomal RNA", at positions 506 to 784 of the family's 1533-position model. The record is from RNAcentral.
UGCCAGCCGCCGCGGUAAUACGGAGGGGGCAAGCGUUGUUCGGAAUUACUGGGCGUAAAGGGUGCGUAGGCGGCCAAGUCAGUCAGGCGUGAAAGCCCAGGGCUCAACCCUGGAAUUGCGCUUGAUACUGCUUGGCUCGAGACCGGAAGAGGGUAGUGGAAUUCCCAGUGUAGAGGUGAAAUUCGUAGAUAUUGGGAAGAACACCAGUGGCGAAGGCGGCUACCUGGUCCGGAUCUGACGCUGAGGCGCGAAGGCUAGGGUAGCGAAAGGGAUUAGAUA